UUAAGUUAUUAAGGGCGCACGGUGGAUGCCUUGGCACUAGAAGCCGAUGAAGGACGUUACUAACGACGAUAUGCUUUGGGGAGCUGUAAGUAAGCUUUGAUCCAGAGAUUUCCGAAUGGGGAAACCCAGCAUGAGUUAUGUCAUGUUAUCGAUAUGUGAAUACAUAGCAUAUCAGAAGGCACACCCGGAGAACUGAAACAUCUUAGUACCCGGAGGAAGAGAAAGAAAAUUCGAUUCCCUUAGUAGCGGCGAGCGAAACGGGAAGAGCCCAAACCAACAAGCUUGCUUGUUGGGGUUGUAGGACACUCUGUACGGAGUUACAAAGGACGACAUUAGACGAAUCAUCUGGAAAGAUGAAUCAAAGAAGGUAAUAAUCCUGUAGUCGAAAAUGUUGUCUCUCUUGAGUGGAUCCUGAGUACGACGGAGCACGUGAAAUUCCGUCGGAAUCUGGGAGGACCAUCUCCUAAGGCUAAAUACUCUCUAGUGACCGAUAGUGAACCAGUACCGUGAGGGAAAGGUGAAAAGCACCCCGGAAGGGGAGUGAAAUAGAACCUGAAACCGUGUGCUUACAAGUAGUCAGAGCCCGUUAAUGGGUGAUGGCGUGCCUUUUGUAGAAUGAACCGGCGAGUUACGAUUUGAUGCAAGGUUAAGCAGUAAAUGUGGAGCCGUAGCGAAAGCGAGUCUGAAUAGGGCGUUUAGUAUUUGGUCGUAGACCCGAAACCAGGUGAUCUACCCUUGGUCAGGUUGAAGUUCAGGUAACACUGAAUGGAGGACCGAACCGACUUACGUUGAAAAGUGAGCGGAUGAACUGAGGGUAGCGGAGAAAUUCCAAUCGAACCUGGAGAUAGCUGGUUCUCUCCGAAAUAGCUUUAGGGCUAGCCUCAAGUGAUGAUUAUUGGAGGUAGAGCACUGUUUGGACGAGGGGCCCCUCUCGGGUUACCGAAUUCAGACAAACUCCGAAUGCCAAUUAAUUUAACUUGGGAGUCAGAACAUGGGUGAUAAGGUCCGUGUUCGAAAGGGAAACAGCCCAGACCACCAGCUAAGGUCCCAAAAUAUAUGUUAAGUGGAAAAGGAUGUGGCGUUGCCCAGACAACUAGGAUGUUGGCUUAGAAGCAGCCAUCAUUUAAAGAGUGCGUAAUAGCUCACUAGUCGAGUGACACUGCGCCGAAAAUGUACCGGGGCUAAACAUAUUACCGAAGCUGUGGAUUGUCCUUUGGACAAUGGUAGGAGAGCGUUCUAAGGGCGUUGAAGCAUGAUCGUAAGGACAUGUGGAGCGCUUAGAAGUGAGAAUGCCGGUGUGAGUAGCGAAAGACGGGUGAGAAUCCCGUCCACCGAUUGACUAAGGUUUCCAGAGGAAGGCUCGUCCGCUCUGGGUUAGUCGGGUCCUAAGCUGAGGCCGACAGGCGUAGGCGAUGGAUAACAGGUUGAUAUUCCUGUACCACCUAUAAUCGUUUUAAUCGAUGGGGGGACGCAGUAGGAUAGGCGAAGCGUGCGAUUGGAUUGCACGUCUAAGCAGUAAGGCUGAGUAUUAGGCAAAUCCGGUACUCGUUAAGGCUGAGCUGUGAUGGGGAGAAGACAUUGNGUCUUCGAGUCGUUGAUUUCACACUGCCGAGAAAAGCCUCUAGAUAGAAAAUAGGUGCCCGUACCGCAAACCGACACAGGUAGUCAAGAUGAGAAUUCUAAGGUGAGCGAGCGAACUCUCGUUAAGGAACUCGGCAAAAUGACCCCGUAACUUCGGGAGAAGGGGUGCUCUUUAGGGUUAACGCCCAGAAGAGCCGCAGUGAAUAGGCCCAAGCGACUGUUUAUCAAAAACACAGGUCUCUGCUAAACCGUAAGGUGAUGUAUAGGGGCUGACGCCUGCCCGGUGCUGGAAGGUUAAGAGGAGUGGUUAGCUUCUGCGAAGCUACGAAUCGAAGCCCCAGUAAACGGCGGCCGUAACUAUAACGGUCCUAAGGUAGCGAAAUUCCUUGUCGGGUAAGUUCCGACCCGCACGAAAGGCGUAACGAUUUGGGCACUGUCUCAACGAGAGACUCGGUGAAAUCAUAGUACCUGUGAAGAUGCAGGUUACCCGCGACAGGACGGAAAGACCCCGUGGAGCUUUACUGUAGCCUGAUAUUGAAAUUCGGCACAGCUUGUACAGGAUAGGUAGGAGCCUUUGAAACGUGAGCGCUAGCUUACGUGGAGGCGCUGGUGGGAUACUACCCUAGCUGUGUUGGCUUUCUAACCCGCACCACUUAUCGUGGUGGGAGACAGUGUCANGCGGGCAGUUUGACUGGGGCGGUCGCCUCCUAAAAGGUAACGGAGGCGCUCAAAGGUUCCCUCAGAAUGGUUGGAAAUCAUUCAUAGAGUGUAAAGGCAUAAGGGAGCUUGACUGCGAGACCUACAAGUCGAGCAGGGUCGAAAGACGGACUUAGUGAUCCGGUGGUUCCGCAUGGAAGGGCCAUCGCUCAACGGAUAAAAGCUACCCCGGGGAUAACAGGCUUAUCUCCCCCAAGAGUUCACAUCGACGGGGAGGUUUGGCACCUCGAUGUCGGCUCAUCGCAUCCUGGGGCUGUAGUCGGUCCCAAGGGUUGGGCUGUUCGCCCAUUAAAGCGGUACGCGAGCUGGGUUCAGAACGUCGUGAGACAGUUCGGUCCCUAUCCGUCGUGGGCGUAGGAAAUUUGAGAGGAGCUGUCCUUAGUACGAGAGGACCGGGAUGGACAUACCUCUGGUGUACCAGUUGUCGUGCCAACGGCAUAGCUGGGUAGCUAUGUGUGGACGGGAUAAGUGCUGAAAGCAUCUAAGCAUGAAGCCCCCCUCAAGAUGAGAUUUCCCAACUUCGGUUAUAAGAUCCCUCAAAGAUGAUGAGGUUAAUAGGUUCGAGGUGGAAGCAUGGUGACAUGUGGAGCUGACGAAUACUAAUCGAUCGAAGACUUAAUCAA
RNAcentral lists this ribosomal RNA (2921 nucleotides) under Staphylococcus aureus. RNAcentral describes it as "23S ribosomal RNA". It matches the Rfam family "Bacterial large subunit ribosomal RNA". Lineage: Bacteria; Bacillati; Bacillota; Bacilli; Caryophanales; Staphylococcaceae. The record is from RNAcentral.